AUCUUCGAGCCUCAGAACUCUCCCUCUCGAUCGAGCCUCAGAACUCUCCCUUUCGAACCUCAUACUCAUCCCCACGGCUAACCCCAAAAUCCCCAAAAUCUAGAAAAUCUCCAAAAUCUCCGAAACCCUAGAAAAUCUCCAAAAUCUCCCAAACCCUAGAAACAACUAACUGGAAGAUAUGCAUUUUAUUUCACCCCUUCUCUCUCCCCCUUUCAGCCCAAAGCCACUGGAGUGAUGGAGCCUAACUUUUGAAGACCCAUCUCCCUCACCCCUUCAGUAGAAGAAAUUUCGGCGAAGGGACCGAUUCACCACAACCGUUUGAAGACCCAUCUCCCUGACUCACUUCAGUUUUUUAGUUUGAAGAAAUCUCCGUGAAAGACAAACUAUGGCAUCGAGUCAAUCAUCAUCGUGUGUAGUUAAUGAUCUUGAAAUCGAAUCACCAAGUUGUUGGUGUGGUUUGAAAGCGCCAUUAAAGAUCUCCUACACCCACAAUAAUCCUGGACGGAAAUUUUAUGCUUGUCCGAAUUAUCAUACGGGAGAAAGAAAAUGUAAAUUCUUCAUUUGGGCAGAUAUACUUCAAUCAGUAUUAUCUGAGAAAAACUUGACAAGAG
Molecule: long non-coding RNA, 611 nt
Organism: Juglans regia (Persian walnut)
Lineage: Eukaryota; Viridiplantae; Streptophyta; Magnoliopsida; Fagales; Juglandaceae
Exons: 4
Source: RefSeq, a predicted model, not a curated record